UGACUGGAAGUCACAGUGGCGGGCGGGUGU
This 30-nucleotide non-coding RNA is filed under the name Mus musculus (house mouse). Lineage: Eukaryota; Metazoa; Chordata; Mammalia; Rodentia; Muridae. The record is from RNAcentral.